Molecule: long non-coding RNA, 641 nt
Organism: Pteronotus mesoamericanus
Lineage: Eukaryota; Metazoa; Chordata; Mammalia; Chiroptera; Mormoopidae
Exons: 3
Source: RefSeq, a predicted model, not a curated record
UUGGGAUUAAGCUUCAGCACUGUCUCCAGGAGAGAAAGCUAUCUCUGCAAAAGGAACUUUUAUUCCACACCUAUUCAGAGCUCCAUUUUGAUCAGCCUGGGCCUAUGUGCCCACCUUGAGAGCAGGGAUACCAGGAGAGUUCCAGUUUGCUGCUGAUGUGUCCCAGCUUACAAUAACAGUGAUAAUAAGGACCAUUUGUGAAGCACAUAAUUCUAUGUUCUUUGAACAUUGUUGCAUCGACUCUCACAAUAACAAUAUAAGGGAGCUGUGAUCUGAAGGCUCAACAGGGGAGUCUCCAUAAAACCCGUGACAAUGCUGAUGAGAGAGCACCACUUCACACUCCUGCCCGGCCUGAAGAACACGAGGCUGUCCUAAUACAGCACCAAUCAGAGAGAAGCGUCCUAUCCUCUCUCCCCUUCUUGCUUUCCUCCUUACUUUGUACCCCUACCUCACCUCAGUUUUGACUCUGAUGGAGAAAGAGACCAGUCUGGCAAGCCAGGAAAAGAGGAAAAACUCUAAGAAGAAAUGUUAUCAUCAAAUGAAAAUUGAGGUAUAGAUUGAUAUGUUGGAAUAGACAGUUCUUGUAUGAGUGUGUAUGUGUUUUGUUUUUAACUUUUUGUUUUGAAUUGAUUUAGUUUCAG